Molecule: long non-coding RNA, 2041 nt
Organism: Drosophila mauritiana
Lineage: Eukaryota; Metazoa; Arthropoda; Insecta; Diptera; Drosophilidae
Exons: 4
Source: RefSeq, a predicted model, not a curated record
UCCUCAGUGUCAGGCCGACUUGCGGAAAUCGGGGAAAUUUUGCACUGGGAGCCGAAACCCGUCGUUCAGAGCUAAAUCGGAAACCGUGGGGAUCCCCAGAGUUGUAGGCCCGCCCACCAGUUAGCUGGUUGUGGAACACCACACUGCCAAGGUCUUCUGUAUGUUUUGUAAAAAAACAUCGGCAGUCUUUUCUAUGUUUUGAAACAGUAGUGAAUUCGAAUGCAAGUGCAAUAAUUGGAACUAAAGCCAAUGCAAAUGGAUUCAAUGCGAAAAGUACUGGCAGGGUGUAAAUCGCGGGGAAACCACAUUAUGUUAUUCCGGAUCCUCUGAUAAGGGCGGAAAGCGCGAGGGCAAACUGCCACUCAUGGAUGGCGCAUCUUCGAACAAAAAGCACGAACCCACAAAGUUAAGUGGUUAGGAUGGAUCCAUUUGCGGGCAUUGGAUAAGUGCUACUUGAUUGAUCGAUCGAUCAACUAUCCAUCCAUCUGUUCCACAAAUAAGUGCGAACUGAAUCGCUUUGGGGUGACAGGAAGUCUAGAUAAGCUAGCGGCUAAUGAUUAUACAAAGGUUUAAACAUUUGAACUAGCGGAGAGCCGGAUAAGCCGGAUAAGCCGGAUAAGCCGGAAAAUAUUUGGUUGCACUCUCCCGCGGAUAGGAAUCGAUGAGAUGCGGAGACAGUGUGGCAGGAUUUACACUUGGUAUUGCGCCGGGGAGCUGUAUGGCAUUGAAUGAUCAUUGUGCGGGGAGCGUCCCUUAUGCGCUUUCUCCGAAUGACGAAUCGGAUCACAUGGACGUGUGGCACUCCGACUGGCAGGCGCCUGAAGCUGAUAGCAAUGACGGAGCCAAUCCUGAGGAUGACCUCAUGCAUGAUGUGCUAGCUGAGCAGCGCUCAAAUGGCGAGGAUAAUGAACUUAACCAUCAGCUUGUGCAGCAAUUAAAUUUGUUGAGGACUCGGAGUAUUUGCGUGAUCCUGGAGAAUUUUUAUUCGUUGCGGUGGACCAGAAGAACCUGUCAAAAAUGAUUGCAGCACGCCAGAAAAUUUAGAACAGAAGCUAAAAAGCCCAAACCAGUUCCAGAUUCUACAAUGCAGGAGGUAUCACCCGUUUUAGAGGGCCAACGUCUAACGACCCACCAUAUACACCGCCUGAUCGAUUUGUACUGCUCGGAGCAUCGUCUCUGGAACCAGUCGCAUUCCUCAACAUGGAGCUGUGCCGCGACUCCUGGAGUAGGAUAACGAAUGCCUGGAGUACUUAUUGCUGCCGAAGCUUCGGCGUGACGGAAGUUCGGAUACGCGUCUCGACGCUGUGUCAAAGAUUUCCCAAGCAAAGGAAGCGCUAGGAGGCGGACUGUGAAUUGGAUGAUAUUACCAAGUUUACGCAUUUUGAACAAUUGAGCUUCCUGUGCAAGCAGCAAUCUUUAUAAAAACGGCAUCGUCACUAUGCCCGAAAGAACAGCCGUCUACUACAGCUUUACGAACAAUAUCCGGUCCUAUGGCACAAUGCACACAAACGGGUUCGAUGUGACGCUCUCCUGGGUCUCCAAAUGGCAUCACGACUUUCGGGGAUUAGCCUGUCGCCCGUGGUUAUCCAGCGACGGUUGCAACCGCUGCGCAAGCGAUAUCGACUGGAAAAGAUAAGCUAUCUGCAAAGUGUGGUGGAGGGAAAGUGUUCGAACCCGAAUUUAUAUCCGGGUUCGAACACUACACGGAAAUGGAGUGCCUGCACAAGCACAUCGAACCUUAUGUGUGUGCUGUUCGUAGAAAGAUUUUUGAGAAUGUAGUAGGUCACCAAAUCCAUGUGCAGAGCAACUGUGAAGUGAAAAAAUUGGGUAAUGCUAAAAACCAGGAGAUGGGAAAACGCAUAAAAGAAGGGCUAAAUGAAGAGAAGAAGUUGGUAACCGAACACGCAGUUGAUUUCUUAAAGGAAAAUUUGAAAGUACCACAAUGGACAAUGAUGCCAAAGGCAUGAACGCAAAUUCCGAAGCACCUUCCAACAAAACGAAACCUAAUUAAUGUGGUUUGCUUUAUUGGAUUUCUUGUAAA